GAUGAAGAACGUAGCGAAAUGCGAUAAGUAAUGCGAAUUGCAGAAUUCCAGUGAGUCAUCGAAUCUUUGAACGCACAUUGCGCCCUUUGGUAUUCCGAAGGGCAUGCCUGUUCGAGCGUCAUUAUCACCCCUCAAGCCUGGCUUGGUGUUGGGCGACGUCCCCUUUGGGGACGCGCCUCGAAACGCUCGGCGGCGUGGCACCGGCUUUAAGCGUAGCAGAAUCUUUCGCUUUGGAAGUCGGGGCCCCGUUUGCCGGAAGACCUACUCGCAAGGUUGACCUUGGAUCAGGCAGGGAUACCCGCUGAACUUAAGCAUAUCAAUAAGCGGAGGA
RNAcentral lists this unclassified non-coding RNA (331 nucleotides) under soil metagenome. Its description in RNAcentral is "partial contains 5.8S ribosomal RNA, internal transcribed spacer 2, and large subunit ribosomal RNA". The stretch from base 1 to 121 matches the Rfam family "5.8S ribosomal RNA", at positions 35 to 154 of the family's 154-position model. The record is from RNAcentral.